UGUCGAUAGCCUAUGGCCUUGGCGGGGGGUGUUCCCGAAUACAGUCCUUUUUAAGUUGUUCUAAACGAGGAUACGUAUUGAUUGAUCUCACGAAGACUGGAUUGGCGAUCAAUUCACAGAUUGAAUGGGCAGGUGUUGGGUGGCGUGCCUAUUGUGAUAUAAUACAAAGGUCAUCGUUAAGAUUUGAAGGUAGAGGUGAUGGCAAUUGUGGUGGCUGUGUUGCUAAUGGUAAUAUUAAACUAGAUCGAGAUCCAGCUGAAAUUCCAUUGGAAAUGCUAUCUGACGUUACACAACCAGAAUGUUAACAACAAAAUGUAAUCGACUUAAUAUCGACAACUCAGCUAUAA
This is a long non-coding RNA of Patella vulgata (common limpet), 347 nucleotides long. RefSeq lists it as uncharacterized. NCBI's taxonomy places the organism in Eukaryota, Metazoa, Mollusca, Gastropoda, Patellidae. The record is from RefSeq and is a predicted model, not a curated record. The transcript is spliced from 3 exons.